RNAcentral lists this ribosomal RNA (253 nucleotides) under uncultured bacterium. Its description in RNAcentral is "partial 16S ribosomal RNA". It matches the Rfam family "Bacterial small subunit ribosomal RNA", at positions 524 to 776 of the family's 1533-position model. The record is from RNAcentral.
GACGUAGGGGGCCAGCGUUGUUCGGAAUUACUGGGUGUAAAGGGUUCGUAGGCGGUGCGGCAAGUUGGGAGUGAAAUCUCUGGGCUUAACCCAGAGGCUGCUUCCAAAACUGCUGUGCUUGAGUGUGGGAGAGGCGCGUGGAAUUGCAGGUGUAGCGGUGAAAUGCGUAGAUAUCUGCAGGAACACCCGUGGCGAAAGCGGCGCGCUGGACCACUACUGACGCUGAGGAACGAAAGCUAGGGGAGCGAACAGG